GGGAAUGUGGUUCAGUGGUAGAGUGCUUGCUUUGCAUGCAUGAGGCCCUAGGUUCGAUUCCUUAGUACCA
This 70-nucleotide transfer RNA is filed under the name Dipodomys ordii (Ord's kangaroo rat). It matches the Rfam family "tRNA". Rfam says of the family: Transfer RNA (tRNA) molecules are approximately 80 nucleotides in length. Their secondary structure includes four short double-helical elements and three loops (D, anti-codon, and T loops). The record is from Rfam by way of RNAcentral. Lineage: Eukaryota; Metazoa; Chordata; Mammalia; Rodentia; Heteromyidae.